This 885-nucleotide unclassified non-coding RNA is filed under the name Hevea brasiliensis (rubber tree). The record is from RNAcentral. Lineage: Eukaryota; Viridiplantae; Streptophyta; Magnoliopsida; Malpighiales; Euphorbiaceae.
AUUUGAAAGUGACAAUGCAAGGUCCUGCACAAGAUCAUGCAUCUUGCACUGUAUAAUAUUCUCACAUGCAUCCCUUUCCACAUCUUGGAAAAAGCAAUUCUGCAGCAAGGCAUUAAAAUACUUGUUGCCCUCAUCUUGACUAGACGACCCAAGAAAACCUUCAGCCAUCCAAAGCUGAACUAAUUCUUCCUUUGCAAUAUCAAAAUCUUUGGGGAAAAUUGAACAAUAUGCAAAACAUGGCUUCAAAAAUGGAGGCAAAUGAUCAAAACUUAGCUUUAGUACAGACUCAACAUUAUCCUCGUUAUCUGAUGAAUUCAAAUCAUUACUACUCAUAAUUGACAACCAUGCUUCCUUAUCCCUUUUGAAACCCAUCGUUCCACCUAAAACUUUUGCGGCUAAUGGCACUCCUCUACAUUUUUUUGCAAUCUCCUUUCCAAUGCACUCCAAAUCUAAAGGUAUUGAUGCUUCUCCAUUUCCAAAUGCCCUUUCCUUCAUAAUGGACCAACAUUCAUCAUCAGACAACAAAUUCAAUGUAUGCCUGUAAUGAGUAUAUGUCUCCAUAGAUGUCUCCAUUAUGGAUGCCACUUGCUCGCUACGAGUUGUGACAACAAUAGCACUUCCAGUAUUCUUUCCACUAACUUCUUUUAAACGAUUCUUUAAAGCAACCCAUCUCUCUGAUACCUCAUUCCACACGUCAUCAAGAACAAGUAGAAAUUUUUUUCCCUCUAAUGCCUCUUUGAGCCCCCGAAGUAUUGCACCUUUGUUUUUCAACCCACCCGUGUUUGCAUUGAGAGUUUGCAACAUCUCCCCUAAAAUCCUUUCGUCAUGAAAGUUAUAAGAGACACAAACCCAUAUUUUAAAAUCAAAAAACUUUUUUUCCAUUAC